UUCAAUAUAGCUAUAAAGAUGCAUAAAUUAUAUCUCCAGAGUUUGGGUAGGGUCUAGAAAUAUAAAUAUUAGUAAUAUAAUACGUUUAACUUAGUUCUUAUAUUGAAAAAUUAGUUUAUGUACUUCUCUAACACAAUUUUAAUCGAUGUUCAACAAGAUAUGUUAAAAAAAAUGUUGAACUCAAAUUAUAUAUGUGUUGAACGCAUAAAGUGUGACAUCCCCAAAAUCCGGGGGUCUGGAUUUGGUGCCACUAAAACAAAAUUAUUUAAAAACCGGUAUUGAAGAAGAAUGUAAAAUAGAUAUUCGAAAAUCUUGAAAAUUUUUAAAAGAGAUUUAAAUCAAAAUCACUUUAACCCCCUAAAAACAGGAUCGCUAAUAGGUUACAGCACUGAAAUCAGAAAUUAAAACUUUAAAUCUUAUUACAACUUAAACUACAUUAUCAGUUACACCUCGAUAAGAAGAGUAACUGAUAACCAAAUAAAUAAAUCUAUUAUACAACUAAAUUGGAAUAGAACAAUUCUAACCAUAAUUGGUUUCACUGACAUCUCCCUGGCAUUCUCACCUAGCAUUACUCUUACGCGCAGCUUAACCAACAAUUCAUCUGAAUCCCUAGCUGAAAGGGGUUAGAAAUAAUGGCAAGGGUGAGCGAAAAUGCUCAGCAAGAUAAAUUUAAAAGCAUAAUAAGGUAAAUCCAUAAUAUGCAGGGAAUUUCAAAUCCAAUAAAUAAUGGAUUUAUAUUCAAAACAUUGAUAAAAACCCGAUUCAUUACAGACUUCCCCCCUUAUAAGGAUUCCGUCCUCGGAAUCAGCGAAGAGAGACUUCAGCAUGCUAUGGCUUGCAAGUCGGGUCGUGAUCUGCUUUAAUAAUUGUAAUCUUAUACGUAAUCUUGAAAUGUACUAGCAUGAUUAGCUCACACAACCUGGUUGGCAUACCUUCAAAAUUGAUUGGAACCAGAAUUAUGAAAUCUUAAAAUGUCUCAGAAUUUAGAUAUCAAAGUAAUUGUCAUACUUAAACUUUUCCAAGUCAAAAUUGAUUGGAAAUAAAGAAGCACUGAGAGAUCAAUAUGAUCCAGAGAACUUAAUGUCGCGUAUCUUAAUAAAGAUACUACUAAAGGUAAUUAGCCUUCUUGUAAUGCACAACACACAAGUGAUGGCGUCCCAUCAAACUUCUAUCACACAGACAGAUAGUCAUUGUGUCCCCUAUGAAUAGGGUUGUUCAUCUCAGUUAGAGAAAAUAAAUAUGUAAUGAAUUUUAAAAUUAAAUAAAUGAUCAUUAUCUUUUGACGAAUUAAAAUUUGAUACACGCCUUGGAUCGACAUUGAAGAAUUUCCAAAGGUGUUAUUCUGGAGAAAAAUAAUAACUAGAAAGAAUAUUUAUACACAACGAGUAAAUGGUGAUAUAUUGAAAUAGAAGCAUUCACCACUUGAAGAAAGUGAAGGUUUCACAUCAUAAACUUGACAGGGCUUUAUAUAACCUAAAAAAAUAGAUAUCAUAUUAGCCUCUAUCACAAUUCAAUUUAACAAACAUCUUUAUGAAAGAGAUGUUAGAAUAAAUCAUUGAUUGAGAAAUAAUCAAUAUAAUCAACAACGAGAAAGGUAUUGCCAAGAUUCUCACAAAUAUCUUCUUGAUUGGCUCCUCUGAUGUCUCGUGUCGUUUGUAACGAUUCUUCUCGACAUUCUUAAUGAUCAAUUACGCAUAUCAUCGUUGACUUGUAAUCUUCUUUGAGAAUUUCAUCAUCGCAAUCCACUUUAGUAAAAGGUCUUAUCUAGCUUGGCACGGUCAGAAACCAUCUUCAACUUUAUACAAUCAGCAUUGUAGAACGUUGACGUUCUAGCCUACUCAUAACACUAUGUCGAGUAGUCUUAUAUGAAUUCUACAUAACUCUCAAAUCACAGCAUCUCUGACCCAACAAAUCUCAUACUCAUUCUAUAUAUAUCUCUAGAAAAUCAAUAGAUGACUCUCUACCAUAUUCAAGAAGUGGUAAAGAUGAAAAGAGAUAAUCCAGACUAGACAGGUCAACCCACAGGUCUAGCUAGUACUGGGUACUCAGAAAGUCAAUCUCAAAUUCAAAAAGAUUGGAAACUAAAGGUUUUAUCAUGUUUCUCUGAAAUCCAAACUCACUAGUUCUAAAACUAGAAACUAGGAUAUCCCAAUUGUUACUCAAAAUCAAUACUCCAAUAUUAACCACAAUUUUACUAACAAAGACUAUGCCAAAUAGUCUUAUCUUACCUCUAUAUGAGGUUCCAUUAAACACAAUCCUUACACAACCUACAUUCUGAUUUCAAUAACUUAUAACCUAUAGCUCUGAUACCAACUGUGACAUCCCCAAAAUCCGGGGGUCUGGAUUUGGUGCCACUAAAACAAAAUUAUUUAAAAACCGGUAUUGAAGAAGAAUGUAAAAUAGAUAUUCGAAAAUCUUGAAAAUUUUUAAAAGAGAUUUAAAUCAAAAUCACUUUAACCCCCUAAAAACAGGAUCGCUAAUAGGUUACAGCACUGAAAUCAGAAAUUAAAACUUUAAAUCUUAUUACAACUUAAACUACAUUAUCAGUUACACCUCGAUAAGAAGAGUAACUGAUAACCAAAUAAAUAAAUCUAUUAUACAACUAAAUUGGAAUAGAACAAUUCUAACCAUAAUUGGUUUCACUGACAUCUCCCUGGCAUUCUCACCUAGCAUUACUCUUACGCGCAGCUUAACCAACAAUUCAUCUGAAUCCCUAGCUGAAAGGGGUUAGAAAUAAUGGCAUGGGUGAGCGAAAAUGCUCAGCAAGAUAAAUUUAAAAGCAUAAUAAGGUAAAUCCAUAAUAUGCAGGGAAUUUCAAAUCCAAUAAAUAAUGGAUUUAUAUUCAAAACAUUGAUAAUGCAAUUCCAAACUGGAGAGAGAAAGUUUCCAUCAUGAGAAAACAUUUUGGAAUCAAAUAAAUGAUUCACUUCAAAAUCUUUAAAACCGUUUUGAUUUGCAUUGUAGCAAAUCUCAUAAUAUAGUACCUUUGCAAGAACUUCAAAAUUUAAUCAUUUGAGAAAUAACUUUUGAUAAUCAACUGUUCAUAAACCACAAUUCAAGAAAUCCCUAAAUAUUCAGUGUCCAUCAUUGUCGACUAAAUUUCCAUAUAUUUAGUUGCUAAACCAGCAUGUCAAUGAUGAGUUGAAUAAAUAAGAAGAUCUCAACUCAUUCUUGGCUCUAACUAUCACUGAGCAACAAAUGCUUCAACGACAAUAUGAACUUCGAAUUAAUCUGUAAAACUUUUCUGAAACUUAAUGCUAAUAAAGAAUAGCAUUAAUAUAUAAAUCAUCCACAACAUUUUUAGGGAUUGGAAUAAUUUAACGUUAUGCUAUAGCCGAUGAUCAGUCGCGAGAUAGCACCGGAUCAUGCACGAAGCAUGUCACCAAAUUUUAAGGGAUCCAAGGCACACAUUGGCCUAAAUAGUAACUAGACCGGCGUACGGUCCCCGAGGGUACUUCCAAUCACAAAAUACGCAAGGUAUCGAAGUAAUCGACAACCUUAUUUUAUAUUAAAAUCACAAUACUAACCGUUAGAUUAACGGUUCAGCAUUUCUAAAACAUUUAAAUAAAAGUUCUUUUCAGGGGAAGCGGUUCCAUAAAACAACAGUUGAUAAAAUAUUGUAGACAGUAUGUGCGUAUACACAUGUCCAAAAUAAUGAUGCAAGUAAAACAGCUUUCAUGCUCGAUACAUUUGAAGGCACUUCAUAAAAUAUAAGUUAAAUAAAAUGAGGUAGUUGAAAAUCUCAAAAAAUUAUUUUAAGAGCUUUCUCAGCUCAUCUUUCCAAAUAAGAAAGGAAAAAGGAAUUUUUAUAAAACAUUAAUAGAUUAGGCAUAUAUAAUGUGCAGUAGCACAAGUAUGUUUCGAGUAAAAUGAAAUAAGAUAUUUUUGGUUAAAAAAGGAUGUGACAUAGAGAAAUGGUAGUAGUAGAUAAGAAUAAAAACACUUGCAUUAAUUACAAGUUGUAGAUGGAAAACUUGCAAUAACACAAGAGUUAUUACUCUUUAAAUAUAAUAGAUAGAGUCACAUGCAUAAAAAUAUAAAUAGAAAAUUUGUGAUAACACAAGUCAUGGAGAGAAAAACUUGUUAAAGUACAAGUCAUCGAUAGGGAUACUUGCCUCUGACAGAAAAACUAGUGACAUCAUAGUCACGCAACUCGAGAAUAAUAUAUUGCCCUGGCAUCUCGCUUCUGGCUCAACACAACUCGAAAACACAAUUCAACUACUUUUGAUGGUCAUUGAUAACACGUCUUGGUCGACUAUAUAUAAUAACAAUAUAAUUCAGUUCGCGAACAACCCAGAUUGUCGUCCGAAUCUAAAAUUUGAAUUGAAAUCAAAUUUGAUACUACCCUUCAUAGUAUACAUAUAUAAUUUCUAUGUACCAUUAUUAUACAUUUAUUAUGUACACAUAAUAUUCAUAAUUUAAACACGUAAUCAUAUUAUCACGUAUCACGAGAUUGACAUGCUUUAUUAUUUAUAAAUAAAUAAUCCUAACUGAUAAUCCCAGAAUCUUUGUCCAAAUAUUAAUUAGAAUUCGAAUUAUAAUCAUAAUUUGAUUCUCAAAUUAAAUCUAAAUGUUAAUAAUAAGUAAAAUCGGACAGCACCUCCUUUGUAAUAAAGGAGUCCCAAAAAUCAACAAUCAACCCAAUAUUCAACAACCAACUCAAUUCUUUUUAUUCUAAACAAUUAAAAUCUGGGAAUUCACUCAAAACAUCAUCAAGAUACUACAAGUAAUAAUAAUACAAAUUGCCACUAAUAUAAACAAUCAAAAAUAUAAAUAUUAAUUUUAUUAAUAUUAUCAUUAAUAUUAUUAUCGUUAUCAAAACAAUAAUAAUAAUAACAAUAAUAAAAACAAUAUCAAUAUUUGUUUUGCUUUUCGAAAUAUUUCCCGGCAGUCACCACCGCCCGGGAACCACCGGACUCCGGCCAGCCCCAACCUGCAGCCCCUCUCCCUCUCUGCCCAGCAUCUCUCUCUCUCCCCCCCCCCUCUCUCUCUCUCUCUCUCUCUCUCUCAACCCCCCCCUCUCUCUCUCUCUCUCUCUCUCUCUCUCUUGUUUUCCUCCUCUCUUUCGUUUCUUUCUUUUCUCGCCUUGGCAGCCUCCUCCCUUUUCGGCUUGCAGCAGCAGCGGCUGAGCCGCCCCUGUUCUUCCCGACGUGGUCGCGGCAGUGAGCCGCCGGCCACCAUUCAGACCACCAUCCUCCCUCUAAUCGCCUCCCCACCGCCUCCAUAACACCCAGCCACCCAUCAAUCAACACCAACACAACUUCCAGCCUCCGAUUGUCUUCCCUUAGCGCCGAUUGAAACCACCACCCACAACAAGCAGAGAUACAUACAAACACAUACGCACAUAAAUGAACAGACAUACAUAACUUUUACCUUUAAUCAUGCUUCAAUUCGAUUUCUCCGAAAGAAAACUGAAACCCUAGCUCUCUUGACCCACCGCCUUUGUUUGAGUACAACACUCUGUCUGUCUAUUCUUAUCUAUACGUCUGAGUUUUUAUUUAAAAAAAGGUAGAAUCCGCGUGUGUG
RNAcentral lists this long non-coding RNA (5526 nucleotides) under Daucus carota (carrot). Its description in RNAcentral is "long non-coding RNA (DCAR_LNC005677)". Lineage: Eukaryota; Viridiplantae; Streptophyta; Magnoliopsida; Apiales; Apiaceae. The record is from RNAcentral.